GGCCGCUUGCUGGAAUGGUAGACAGACCGGACUUAAAAUCCGUUGCCCUCCGGGGCGUGUGGGUUCGAGUCCCACAGCGGCUACCA
This 86-nucleotide transfer RNA is filed under the name Paracoccaceae bacterium. Its description in RNAcentral is "Rhodobacteraceae bacterium (activated sludge metagenome) tRNA-Leu". It matches the Rfam family "tRNA". Rfam says of the family: Transfer RNA (tRNA) molecules are approximately 80 nucleotides in length. Their secondary structure includes four short double-helical elements and three loops (D, anti-codon, and T loops). Further hydrogen bonds mediate the characteristic L-shaped molecular structure. tRNAs have two regions of fundamental functional importance: the anti-codon, which is responsible for specific mRNA codon recognition, and the 3' end, to which the tRNAs corresponding amino acid is attached (by aminoacyl-tRNA synthetases). tRNAs cope with the degeneracy of the genetic code in two manners: having more than one tRNA (with a specific anti-codon) for a particular amino acid; and 'wobble' base-pairing, i.e. permitting non-standard base-pairing at the 3rd anti-codon position. Lineage: Bacteria; Pseudomonadati; Pseudomonadota; Alphaproteobacteria; Rhodobacterales; Paracoccaceae. The record is from RNAcentral.